GCCCCGCAAUCUGCACCCGCGGGCCCUAACGUCCCGGCGGGACUGAGCACCCAAGACGCCCCGGCAGGAAGGACUCGGAGGAGAAGGGCAGCCUCCCCUUUCGUGAGUAAGCAGCCCCUGUUCCUUUUGGCACUUGAACAUCUCUCCCUGGGCUUUCUGUGGGUUCCAAGCAUACAACUGGGUUCUUCGUGGGACUAGAAGCUAAACAGCAAUGUAUUCAACAGGUCUUGACAGUGCUUCCUGGUGAGUUGCAGACUCUGUUCUCUGAGGGGAGACCCCACGACCCCGACCUUCCUGGAGUCCGGUGUUAGACACGGGAAACCAAACACACCGUUCCCGUAGGGCUCUGGAGGAAGGGCAGGCAAACUCUCAUUCUCGGGUGAAGGUGGACCAGUGGAAAAAGCCACCAAGGGAGCACAACAGGCCUUCAGUUUCCCGCAGACCCCACGGAGCUCAGGUGCGGGGAACUGCGGCCUCGGGGUCUCUGCAGGUGCUGACAAUGAGGCCGGUAAGGAGCAAGGUGCGCAAGGCCGUUCCGCUGCCCUUUUAGUUUCAGAAUCACCCAGCGCACCCAGUUUCAAAUGAGACGGACAACGUGAUUCAUCUCUGUUCUGCAAAGCCUUAGAAAUUGCAGUUUUCCAGCAGAAUGGGCACAGUACAUUCCGGGGUGGGAGUUCCAAUUGCUUAUGGAAUCAACCAUAGCACACUGUCAAGUCUCUGUGGCGCAAUCGGUUAGCGCGUUCGGCUGUUAACCGAAAGGUUGGUGGUUCGAGCCCACCCAGGGACGGAGUGUGUGACUUUUAACUCAGUUCCGUGUCUUUCCUGCUGUUUAUCACCUGCACAUUUCCUCACAUGAAAUCUGUGACUUGAUUCUGGGUCCUGUCCGCUUCGUAUCAGCUAACUCUUAAUUAAGACCCACCGGCCCACCCCACCUCCCCAACCUGAUUCUCGUAAUAAAAGAGUAUCUGCUAACCUAUCAGCUUUAUACCCCUCAACCUGAACUCCUGACAGAAGAACCCAGGAUCUGGUGGGGUACAAUUUUUUAUUCGGCCCUUAAAAGAUUGGAUGAAUAACUUAGACUUUGGUGACUCA
Molecule: long non-coding RNA, 1092 nt
Organism: Lutra lutra (Eurasian river otter)
Lineage: Eukaryota; Metazoa; Chordata; Mammalia; Carnivora; Mustelidae
Exons: 3
Source: RefSeq, a predicted model, not a curated record